RNAcentral lists this ribosomal RNA (502 nucleotides) under uncultured bacterium. Its description in RNAcentral is "partial 16S ribosomal RNA". It matches the Rfam family "Bacterial small subunit ribosomal RNA", at positions 30 to 523 of the family's 1533-position model. The record is from RNAcentral.
AUUGAACGCUGGCGGCAUGCUUUACACAUGCAAGUCGAACGGUAACAGGGUGCUUGCACCGCUGACGAGUGGCGAACGGGUGAGUAAUGCGUCGGAACGUGCCGAGUAGUGGGGGAUAACGCAGCGAAAGUUGUGCUAAUACCGCAUACGUACUGAGGUAGAAAGUGGGGGACCUUCGGGCCUCACGCUAUUCGAGCGGCCGACGUCUGAUUAGCUAGUAGGUGAGGUAAAGGCUCACCUAGGCGACGAUCAGUAGCGGGUCUGAGAGGAUGAUCCGCCACACGGGGACUGAGACACGGCCCAGACUCCUACGGGAGGCAGCAGUGGGGAAUUUUGGACAAUGGGCGAAAGCCUGAGCCAGCCAUGCCGCGUGUCUGAAGAAGGCCUUCGGGUUGUAAAGGACUUUUGUCAGGGAGGAAAUCCCUAGUGCUAAUAACACUGGGGUCGAUGACGGUACCGGAAGAAUAAGGACCGGCUAACUACGUGCCAGCCGCCGCCGUAA